RNAcentral lists this ribosomal RNA (1003 nucleotides) under Plasmodium knowlesi. RNAcentral's name for it is "SSU rRNA". It matches the Rfam family "Eukaryotic small subunit ribosomal RNA", at positions 162 to 1078 of the family's 1831-position model. The record is from RNAcentral. Lineage: Eukaryota; Apicomplexa; Aconoidasida; Haemosporida; Plasmodiidae.
AGCUAAUACUUGCUUUAGCACUCUUGAUUUAUUUCUUGAGUGUGUACUUGUUAAGCCUUAUAAGAAAAGAGUUAUUAACUUAAGGAAUUAUAACAAAGAAGUAACACGUAAUGGAUCAUUCCAUUUUUAGUGUGUAUCAAUCGAGUUUCUGACCUAUCAGCUUUUGAUGUUAGGGUAUUGGCCUAACAUGGCUAUGACGGGUAACGGGGAAUUAGAGUUCGAUUCCGGAGAGGGAGCCUGAGAAAUAGCUACCACAUCUAAGGAAGGCAGCAGGCGCGUAAAUUACCCAAUUCUAAAGAAGAGAGGUAGUGACAAGAAAUAACAAUACAAGGCCAAUCUGGCUUUGUAAUUGGAAUGAUGGGAAUUUAAAACCUUCCCAAAAUUCAAUUGGAGGGCAAGUCUGGUGUCAGCAGCCGCGGUAAUUCCAGCUCCAAUAGCGUAUAUUAAAAUUGUUGCAGUUAAAACGCUCGUAGUUGAAUUUCAAAGAAUCGAUAUUUUAAGUAACGCUUCUAGCUACAAAUCCACAUAACUGAUGCCUCCGCGUAUCGACUUUGUGCGCAUUUUAGCUAUUAUGUGUUCUUUUAAUUAAAAUGAUUCUUUUUAAGAUUCAUCUAUUAAAAAUUUGCUUCGGCAUAAUUUUUUUUGAUGAUCUUGUUACUUUGAGUAAAUUAGAGUGUUCAAAGCAAACAGAUAUAGCAUUUGUGCGUUUGAAUACUACAGCAUGGAAUAACAAAAUUGAACAAGUCAGAAUUUUUUUGUUCUUUUUUCUUAUUUUGGCUUAGUUACGAUUAAUAGGAGUAGCUUGGGGGCAUUUGUAUUCAGAUGUCAGAGGUGAAAUUCUUAGAUUUUCUGGAGACAAACAACUGCGAAAGCAUUUGCCUAAAAUACUUCCAUUAAUCAAGAACGAAGGUUAAGGGAGUGAAGACGAUCAGAUACCGUCGUAAUCUUAACCAUAAACUAUGCCGACUAGGCUUUGGAUGAAAGAUUUUAAAAUAAGAGUUUU